AGUUUGAUCCUGGCUCAGAAUGAACGCUGGCGGCGUGCUUUACACAUGCAAGUCGAGCGAGGCGGCCCGCAAGGGUCAGUCGAGCGGCGAACGGGUGAGUAACGCGUGGAUAACCUGCCCUGAGGUGUGGAACAACCGGGGGAAACUCCGGCUAAUACCGCAUGAUACCGAGAGGUCAAAGGAGGCGCCCGCAAGGGGGCUUCCGCCAUAGGAGGGGUCCGCGUUCGAUUAGCUAGUUGGCAGGGUAAUGGCCUACCAAGGCGACGAUCGAUAGCCGGCCUGAGAGGGUGAUCGGCCACACUGGAACUGAGACACGGUCCAGACUCCUACGGGAGGCAGCAGUGGGGAAUUUUGCGCAAUGGGCUAACGCCUGACGCAGCAACGCCGCGUGGAGGAUGAAGGUCUUUGGAUUGUAAACUCCUGUCAGCAGGGAAAAAGGGAAGGGGCUUAAUACGCUUCUGACUUGAUUGUACCUGCAGAGGAAGCCCCGGCUAACUCUGUGUCAGCAGCCGCGGUAA
This 518-nucleotide ribosomal RNA is filed under the name uncultured bacterium. Its description in RNAcentral is "bacterial SSU rRNA". It matches the Rfam family "Bacterial small subunit ribosomal RNA", at positions 10 to 523 of the family's 1533-position model. The record is from RNAcentral.